GCCAUCAAUGGGCAUUGGGUGCAGGUCAUAUUAAAGGUGUAGGCUUGGGGUGUGACGUAGUUUUCCAAGAAACCAAUGCCUUCUUUGAGAUUGUCACAGACCCUGUCCAUAAGAAAGUCCGACAGAGCUGCUCAAAUACCUUGAUGACUUUCUUAGGGAGAUGGAAGAUCUGGGCCCAAUAUGUCUGCACUCCAAAUAAAUCUACUUCUAUAAGUUGUAGCCUUCCAGCAUAAGACAAUAACUUGGCUGACCAACAAGUGAUUUUAUCUGUGAUCUUUUCAAUCAAUGGAAGGUAUGCAUAAGCUUAAAGUUUUUUAGAAGCUAGUGGUACACCAAGAUAUCUAAAAGGAAGAGUUCCCACAGAAAAGCCCAAGGCAUCCACAAUCUCUUGUUUUGUGUGAUCAUGCACCCUAACAAUAUAGACCAAAUUCUUGUCUUUAUUAGCCUGUAAUCUAGAUGCUUCAGAAAACCUCAUAAAAGCAUGAUUCAUCAAUGUUACUGAUACCAUAUCAGCUCUGCAAUACAUCAACAAGUCAUCCACAAAACAUAUGUGAAUAUUGUGUAUUUUUUCACACCCGGGAGGGUAGUUAAAAUCCCCAUUUGUUGCCAUUUGCAGUAGUUCUCUUUCUAAGUACUCCAUAGUCAAGACGAAAAGAAAGAGUUUGAGCUCCUUUUGUUUGUGGCCUUGAUUAAAGCCUCUUAUGUUCCAAGUAGCAACGAUCAUGUGGGCAGGAAUGGCAUGGAGCUACCAGCGCUAUCCUGCAUCUGAUUUCCCACAUAAGAAUCUGCACAUUUGAGCUUUCAUCCACAUGUUAUUUACCAGGUCUUUGUCCAGGAUCAAGUUCAGGUGGUGGCUGGAUUGAUGGCUCAGUAACUGAAUAUGGGAUAUCACAUUUCUCUAGUUCAACAUGGGAUUGAGCUUGUACUGGUAUCCAGUUUGCAAUAAGUCGCCUUUGUUACCCAUUUUUGCUUCCAUAUGGUUCACCCUGUUGACAUCUCUACCAUAGUCCUCCUCCCUAUCCUCAGUUGAGUAUUUUUUGUACAAUCAAUCAGUAUCUUUAUGUCCUAACCUUAGAAAAUAAUUGUAGAAUUUGGGUCUCUAUUCAUAUUCAAUAGAUUGAGUCCACGAUUCAAUAUGUGUUUCAAUAGCUAUAACAUCAGGCAAGUUCGUUGAAAUAUCAACCUUAAACAAGGACUCUAGCAUAUGAGAUUCUUUUAGCAGUUGCAGUGAAACCAUUUGUAUAUAAGGGAACCCCAAUUGCACUAGCAACUUUACUCAAAGCUUAAACAGACCAAUACCCCACAGGUAGACCUAGAAAUUUAACCCAAAUUGGGAUCUAUCUAUACAUAUCAGCAUCAAGCUCAAAAUCUAAUUCCCAAUAUCUCAAUACAAUAGGUUUAUUUCCGUAGAAGUAAGGCCCGUCUUGCAUCAUUUUCUCUUUGUCAAUAAUAUUAUGAAAUUUAAAAACAUAAUAUCCAUCAUCAUGGUAUAGGACAUGUGGUGGAGCAACAAAAUCCCAAUCCUUCUUGACAUACUCCUUCAUUUGAUUUUCAUACACGCUAUCCCCAAUUACAUAUCCUAUUAAUGCAUUUUCCCACUCCUUCACAUGCAAGCGAAUAUCCUCAUCUCCAAUUUCAAUUGUAUGACCCCUUCCUUAAUCACUGCGGGAUAAAGUUUAGGGUCUUACUAGUGUUGCAAUUUCUUCUCACAUAUGCAGGUGCAGCAGGAGUUGACUGAGCAGAUAUAUUAGUAUCAAAAAAUUUUAGUCUUCUCUUCGGUGUAUCCUUCCUAGAUGCUUUCCCCAUCUAAACUUCAUCCUCUAUGUAGUUGUGAACUUCGAAGGUGGAAAAUUUCCAAAAGUGAGGAGAAAGUUGUUGAGUUUCUCCAGAAGCCGGGGUAACGAUUUGUGGUAGAGUAGUGUGGAUGGGGGUUGUCGGUGGCGACCCAUCAAACACGAUCUUAGCUCACCCUUGCUAUGGUGCGCCGAGAGCAUUCUGAAUUGCUAUUGUUCCCUGA
Solanum pennellii is the source of this 2017-nucleotide long non-coding RNA. RefSeq lists it as uncharacterized. The record is from RefSeq and is a predicted model, not a curated record. The transcript is spliced from 2 exons. Lineage: Eukaryota; Viridiplantae; Streptophyta; Magnoliopsida; Solanales; Solanaceae.